CCUACGGGGGGCUGCAGUGGGGAAUAUUGCACAAUGGGCGCAAGCCUGAUGCAGCGACGCCGCGUGAGCGAUGAAGGCCUUCGGGUCGUAAAGCUCUGUCCUAAGGGCAGAAUAAUGACGGUACCUUAGGAGGAAGCCCCGGCUAACUACGUGCCAGCAGCCGCGGUAAUACGUAGGGGGCGUGCGUUAUCCGGGAUAACUGGGCGUAAAGGGUGCGUAGGCGGCCCUGCGAGUCAGGAGUUAAGUCUCUCGGCUCAACCGUGGUAAGUGCUGGAAACUGUAGGGCUUGAGUGCAGGAGAGGGGAGCGGAAUUCCUAGUGUAGCGGGGAAAUGCGUAGAUAUUAGGAGGAAAACCAGUGGCGAAGGCGGAUAUGUGGACUGGAACUGACGGGGAGGUACGUAAGCGUGGGGUGCGAACAGGAUUAGAUAACCCAGUAGUC
This 440-nucleotide ribosomal RNA is filed under the name uncultured bacterium. RNAcentral's name for it is "bacterial SSU rRNA". It matches the Rfam family "Bacterial small subunit ribosomal RNA", at positions 338 to 795 of the family's 1533-position model. The record is from RNAcentral.